This 452-nucleotide ribosomal RNA is filed under the name uncultured bacterium. RNAcentral describes it as "bacterial SSU rRNA". It matches the Rfam family "Bacterial small subunit ribosomal RNA", at positions 29 to 524 of the family's 1533-position model. The record is from RNAcentral.
AGCGAACGCUGGCGGCAGGCUUAACACAUGCAAGUCGAACGGGCGUAGCAAUACGUCAGUGGCAGACGGGUGAGUAACGCGUGGGAACGUACCUUUUGGUUCGGAACAACCCAGGGAAACUUGGGCUAAUACCGGAUAAGCCCUUACGGGGAAAGAUUUAUCGCCGAAAGAUCGGCCCGCGUCUGAUUAGCUAGUUGGUGUGGUAACGGCGCACCAAGGCGACGAUCAGUAGCUGGUCUGAGAGGAUGAUCAGCCACAUUGGGACUGAGACACGGCCCAAACUCCUACGGGAGGCAGCAGUGGGGAAUAUUGGACAAUGGGCGCAAGCCUGAUCCAGCCAUGCCGCGUGAGUGAUGAAGGCCCUAGGGUUGUAAAGCUCUUUUGUGCGGGAAGAUAAUGACGGUACCGCAAGAAUAAGCCCCGGCUAACUUCGUGCCAGCCGCCGCAGUAAC